Molecule: microRNA precursor, 105 nt
Filed under: Canis lupus familiaris (dog)
Lineage: Eukaryota; Metazoa; Chordata; Mammalia; Carnivora; Canidae
Also listed under: 1 other name
Description: mir-8834 microRNA precursor family
Rfam family: mir-8834 microRNA precursor family
Source: Rfam by way of RNAcentral
AGGAGGAACAACCACGGUGGCGGGGCCUGUUCUGGAGCCCUGGCUUGAGCCCCAGCAGGAAGUAUGGAGCUCUUGGUCUGCAGGGCCUGGAGGCUCCUGGGCGGG